CUCACCCAGGGCUCCUGUAGCUCAAGGGGCAGGCCUGUGCCCUGCGCCCGCCCCAAGUCCGUCCAGCCCCUGACGGGGCGCCCCAUCCCGAGGGGCUCCGCACUGGCUCCCACCGAGGCAGGGGACCCGAUCAGCUCGGAGCUCGGCUGGAUGUUACAGGCGUGCAAA
Regulatory RNA element from Camelus ferus (Wild Bactrian camel), 168 nucleotides. It matches the Rfam family "Spi-1 (PU.1) 5' UTR regulatory element". Rfam says of the family: Spi-1 regulates myeloid gene expression during haemopoietic development. This family represents a regulatory element found in the 5' UTR of Spi-1 mRNA which is able to inhibit the translation Spi-1 transcripts by 8-fold. The record is from Rfam. Lineage: Eukaryota; Metazoa; Chordata; Mammalia; Artiodactyla; Camelidae.